RNAcentral lists this ribosomal RNA (400 nucleotides) under uncultured bacterium. RNAcentral's name for it is "bacterial SSU rRNA". It matches the Rfam family "Bacterial small subunit ribosomal RNA", at positions 121 to 523 of the family's 1533-position model. The record is from RNAcentral.
GCUACCAAUCAUACUCACUCCCCACGGGCAAAUCGGAGUAAUACCGCAUAAGCCGUGGGGGGAAAGUUGGGCAUAUGAUUAAACCUCAUAUAGAAAGAUGAGCCCCGCGUGGAUUAGGCUUGUUGAUGGGUGACCGCCCUACCAAGGCGACGAUCGGUACUGGUCUGAGAGGAGGAGCAGCGACACUGGGAAUGAGACCCGGCCCAGACCCUACGGGAGGCAGCAGUGGGGAAUAUUGGACAAUGGGCGAAAGCCUGACCAGCAAUGACCGCGUGGGUGAAGAAGGCUUGCGGGUUGUAAAGCCCUUCAGCCGGGAGGAAAAGCGCCGGGUUAAUACCCCGACGUAUUGACGUUACGGCAGAAGAAGCACCGGCUAACUCCGUGCCAGCAGCCGCGGUAA